CAGCCAUCCAUCCAUGUUGCAGACAAACAGUAGGUAACGUUACGAGAAAACAGCCUUCAGUCGACGGAUCGAAAAUGGAAGGGCGCCCUCCAACCCCGGAAGAUGAAGAGCUUUACCUGGAGGAGGAAAGACGACGCAGACAGGCGUUACAGCGCCGCCUUGAGGUGACCCUGAGGACGAUUCGGCUGCUGUUGGACAUUGCUGGCUACCGACUUCUACUUGCUAGGCCAGAGAACGAUGGCAACGGCAAUCCCCGAAGUCGUUGAAGAAACACUCGAAGCUUGUACUUUUCUGGACUUUUUCGUUGUUUUCUUUUGGGGGGGGGGGGGGGUUGGGAACGAGUUCUUGUGUCAAUAAAUGAAUACUGCAUCCGUUCUUUGGUCGAUAUGUUUGGACAGAAUUUCACGCACUGUUAAGAAGGGUGUGCAAUUUGCGCGUAUCGCAGUUGUAGCAAAGAUCGAAAGAGAAAUGGGAUAGUGAAAAUAAAGGGAGGUUAACCGGAAGAGCUCCUAAUUUGCUGCCCUUAACUGGGAGAAAACUAUGGAGAGAAAGAAAAACGGAAAGAAUAUCUGAGAAAUAAAGCCUUUGCGUGCGAAAAAAAAAAAAAAAAAGAACUAGGGCAGGUGGCAGCAAAUCGACGGCGACUGCGGUUGAUCUCUGGCGAUAUGUAUGCAAAGUUGGAGCUGAAAGGCGCGCAGCUAAAACUGUGGUGCAGGCUGGCUCAUGGCCUGCGUCUCCACGGGGCCCAAACCCAUUGCUGGCGUUUAUCGAGCCCCAGGCGCUGCUCCUCCGCUGGCCCACCUGCGCAUACUUGCGCGCUCGCAUACGGGCCACCUCUUCAGACUUCAGAACGGUGUCGUGACCCGGCCCUUAGCGAAUCUCGACCGCCCCCGAAUUGGCAUACCAUCUCGUGCAUGCCGAUCUCGAUGCAUGAAUCUGUGAGGCGUUGGCUCACUCAGAUACCAAUAGUUCCGCAGCGCGCUCCCUCAUUUAUACACUUGCGACUCUGCGUUCGACUGAGAAAAUUGUUCUCGGAUCCUUUUCACUCUGCUUCUUGUGAACUGUGCAGUAGACCGCCCUCACUCACCCAA
Molecule: long non-coding RNA, 1091 nt
Organism: Dermacentor andersoni
Lineage: Eukaryota; Metazoa; Arthropoda; Arachnida; Ixodida; Ixodidae
Source: RefSeq, a predicted model, not a curated record